AAAGUGCCUAACACAUGCAAGUCGAGCGAGAAAGGGUAGCAAUACCUGAGUAAAGCGGCGCACGGGUGAGUAACACGUGGGUAAUCUGCCCUAGAGUGGGGAUAACACCGGGAACCGGUGCUAUACCGCAUACGAUCACGAUGUCUUCGGAUGUUGUGAUGAAAGGAGCAAUUCGCUCUUGGAGGAGCCCGCGGCUGAUUAGCUAGUUGGUGAGGUAAUGGCUCACCAAUGCAACGAUCAGUAGCCGGUCUGAGAGGACGGUCGGCCACACUGGAACUGAGACACGGUCCAG
RNAcentral lists this ribosomal RNA (292 nucleotides) under uncultured bacterium. RNAcentral describes it as "partial 16S ribosomal RNA". It matches the Rfam family "Bacterial small subunit ribosomal RNA", at positions 44 to 334 of the family's 1533-position model. The record is from RNAcentral.